RNAcentral lists this ribosomal RNA (1465 nucleotides) under Candidatus Woesebacteria bacterium RBG_13_46_13. RNAcentral describes it as "bacterial SSU rRNA". It matches the Rfam family "Bacterial small subunit ribosomal RNA". Lineage: Bacteria; Candidatus Woeseibacteriota. The record is from RNAcentral.
AAUUUGAGGAUUUGAUCCUGGUCCAGGAUGAACGCUGGCGGCGUGCUUUAAGCAUGCAAGUAAAACGGGCCUCGCAAGAGGCAAGUUGCGAACGGCUGAGUAUAAGAUAGGAAUCUACCCCUUGGCGGGGAAUACCCCGUCGAAAGACGGGCUAAUACCGCAUAAGUCCGCAAGGAGAAAGCGCGUAACUGCGCACCGAGGGAUGAGCCUAUCUCCCAUCAGCUUGUUGGUAGGGUAAUGGCCUACCAAGGCUAUGACGGGUAGGGGACGUGAGAGCGUGACCCCCCAGAAUGGGACUGAGACACGGCCCAUACACCUACGGGUGGCAGCAACUGGGAAUCGUGCGCAAUGGACGAAAGUCUGACGCCGCGACGCCGCGUGAGGGAUGAAGGCCUUCGGGUUGUAAACCUCUUUUGCCAAGCACCAAUGAGCUUGGAGAAUCAGCACCUGCUAACUCUGUGCCAGCAGCCGCGGUAAUACAGAGGGUGCAAGCGUUAUCCGGAUUUACUGGGCGUAAAGCGUUUCGUAGGCGACUAGGUAAGUUACACUUCAAAGACCAGGGCUUAACCUUGGGAAGGGGUGUAAUACUACUUAGAUUGAAAGUUCUCGGGGCUACUGGAACUCUCGGUGUAGGGGUGAAAUCCGUUGAUAUCGAGAGGAACACCAAGGGCGAAGGCAAGUAGCUAGGGAAUCUUUGACGCUGAGGAACGACAGCUAGGGGAGCGAAAGGGAUUAGAGACCCCUGUAGUCCUAGCCGUAAACUUUGCUCGCUAGGGAUCCUCGAUUUAUCGGGGGUUCCGUAAGCUAACGCGUUAAGCGAGCCGCCUGGGGAGUACGAGCGCAAGCUUAAAACUCAAAGGAAUUGACGGGGACCUGCACAACCAGUGGAGCAUGUGGUUUAAUUCGAGACGAACCGAAGGACCUUACCCGGGUUUGACAUGCUAUCGUUUAAGUCUCCAGAAACGGAGACCGAUCCGUAAGGAUGAUAGCACAGGUGUUGCAUGGCUGUCGUCAGCUCGUGCCGUGGGGUGUUCCCUUCAGUGGGGUAACGAGCGCAACCCCUUCCAUAUGUUGAAUAUUCAUAUGGUACAGCCUCGCUUUGCGAGGAGGAAGUGGGGACGACGUCAAGUCAGCAUGGCCCUUAUGUCCGGGGCAACACACAUGCUACAAUGAAGCCGACAAUGGGUUGCCAAGUGGUAACACGGAGCUAAUCCCAUCAAACGGCUUCUCAGUAGGGAUUGAGGGCUGCAACUCGCCCUCAUGAACGCGGAAUUGGUAGUAAUCGCGAAUCAGCUAUGUCGCGGUGAAUACGUUCUCAGGUCUUGUACACACCGCCCGUCAAGUCAGCAAAGUUGGGGGCACCCGAAUGUCCGAUGUUCGGGCAGAAGGUGACACCAGCGAUGAAGAUUAAGUCGUAACAAGGUAUCCGUACUGGAAGGUGCGGAUGGAUCACCUCCUUUCUAAG